Molecule: ribosomal RNA, 1424 nt
Filed under: Citrobacter freundii
Lineage: Bacteria; Pseudomonadati; Pseudomonadota; Gammaproteobacteria; Enterobacterales; Enterobacteriaceae
Description: partial 23S ribosomal RNA
Rfam family: Bacterial large subunit ribosomal RNA
Source: RNAcentral
AGCGUACACGGUGGAUGCCCUGGCAGUCAGAGGCGAUGAAGGACGUGCUAAUCUGCGAUAAGCGUCGGUAAGGUGAUAUGAACCGUUAUAACCGGCGAUUUCCGAAUGGGGAAACCCAGUGUGUUUCGACACACUAUCAUUACGUGAAUACAUAGCGUAAUGAAGCGAACCGGGGGAACUGAAACAUCUAAGUACCCCGAGGAAAAGAAAUCAACCGAGAUUCCCCCAGUAGCGGCGAGCGAACGGGGAGCAGCCCAGAGUCUGAAUCAGCUUGUGUGUUAGUGGAACGGUCUGGAAAGUCCGACGGUACAGGGUGAUAGUCCCGUACACCAAAAUGCACAGGUUGUGAACUCGAAGAGUAGGGCGGGACACGUGGUAUCCUGUCUGAAUAUGGGGGGACCAUCCUCCAAGGCUAAAUACUCCUGACUGACCGAUAGUGAACCAGUACCGUGAGGGAAAGGCGAAAAGAACCCCGGCGAGGGGAGUGAAAAAGAACCUGAAACCGUGUACGUACAAGCAGUGGGAGCCUCUUUAUGGGGUGACUGCGUACCUUUUGUAUAAUGGGUCAGCGACUUAUAUUCUGUAGCAAGGUUAACCGUAUAGGGGAGCCGAAGGGAAACCGAGUCUUAACUGGGCGUUAAGUUGCAGGGUAUAGACCCGAAACCCGGUGAUCUAGCCAUGGGCAGGUUGAAGGUUGGGUAACACUAACUGGAGGACCGAACCGACUAAUGUUGAAAAAUUAGCGGAUGACUUGUGGCUGGGGGUGAAAGGCCAAUCAAACCGGGAGAUAGCUGGUUCUCCCCGAAAGCUAUUUAGGUAGCGCCUCGUGAAUUCAUCUUCGGGGGUAGAGCACUGUUUCGGCUAGGGGGUCAUCCCGACUUACCAACCCGAUGCAAACUGCGAAUACCGAAGAAUGUUAUCACGGGAGACACACGGCGGGUGCUAACGUCCGUCGUGAAGAGGGAAACAACCCAGACCGCCAGCUAAGGUCCCAAAGUCAUGGUUAAGUGGGAAACGAUGUGGGAAGGCACAGACAGCCAGGAUGUUGGCUUAGAAGCAGCCAUCAUUUAAAGAAAGCGUAAUAGCUCACUGGUCGAGUCGGCCUGCGCGGAAGAUGUAACGGGGCUAAACCAUGCACCGAAGCUGCGGCAGCGACACUAUGUGUUGUUGGGUAGGGGAGCGUUCUGUAAGCCGUUGAAGGUGUGCUGUGAGGCAUGCUGGAGGUAUCAGAAGUGCGAAUGCUGACAUAAGUAACGAUAAUGCGGGUGAAAAACCCGCACGCCGGAAGACCAAGGGUUCCUGUCCAACGUUAAUCGGGGCAGGGUGAGUCGACCCCUAAGGCGAGGCCGAAAGGCGUAGUCGAUGGGAAACAGGUUAAUAUUCCUGUACUUGGUGUUACUGCGAAGGGGGGACGGAGAAGGCUA